This 495-nucleotide ribosomal RNA is filed under the name uncultured bacterium. RNAcentral's name for it is "bacterial SSU rRNA". It matches the Rfam family "Bacterial small subunit ribosomal RNA", at positions 28 to 521 of the family's 1533-position model. The record is from RNAcentral.
GACGAACGCUGGCGGCGUGCCUAACACAUGCAAGUCGAGGGGCAGCGCGGUAGCAAUACUGGCGGCGACCGGCGCACGGGUGCGUAACACGUAUGCAACCUACCUUCAACUGGAGGAUAGCCCGGGGAAACUCGGAUUAAUACUCCACAACACAGGGAUCCCGCAUGGGAAUAUUGUUAAAGCUACGGCGGUUGAAGAUGGGCAUGCGUUCGAUUAGCUAGUUGGUGUAGGUAACGGCUCACCAAGGCUACGAUCGAUAGGGGGUCUGAGAGGAUGAUCCCCCACACUGGUACUGAGAUACGGACCAGACUCCUACGGGAGGCAGCAGUAGGGAAUAUUGGUCAAUGGGCGCAAGCCUGAACCAGCCAUGCCGCGUGCAGGAAGAAGGCCCUCUGGGUUGUAAACUGCUUUUGAUAGGGAACAAUGCCACUUGCGAGUGGAGCUGAGUGUACCUAUAGAAUAAGCACGGCUAAACUCCGUGCCAGCAGCCGCGGU